Non-coding RNA from Desmophyllum pertusum, 74 nucleotides. The record is from the annotation of a GenBank genome assembly. NCBI's taxonomy places the organism in Eukaryota, Metazoa, Cnidaria, Anthozoa, Scleractinia, Caryophylliidae.
GGCUUCCGUAGCUCAGUUGGUAGAGUAAAACUAGUAAAACGCGGAGGUCAUGGGUUCAAAUCCCGUUAAAGCUA